GGAAUAUAAGAACCCGUCUCUUAACUUUUAACUAAAAAAGCUAAGAACCGACUCUUAAAUAAGAGUUUUAAGAACCGGUUUUUAACUUUUUUAGUUAAAAGUUAAGAGACGGGUUCUUACAUUCC
RNAcentral lists this microRNA precursor (125 nucleotides) under Brassica carinata (Ethiopian mustard). RNAcentral's name for it is "MIR9563 microRNA precursor family". It matches the Rfam family "MIR9563 microRNA precursor family". The record is from Rfam by way of RNAcentral. Lineage: Eukaryota; Viridiplantae; Streptophyta; Magnoliopsida; Brassicales; Brassicaceae. RNAcentral also lists the same sequence under 1 other name.